GUCUGUCAGUGUUUUGUGUAUUCAUAUUUAAAGCCUAUUUAAGAGACGAUGCACAGAGAUAGAGACGUACUCUUGUCGGCAAAAAGAAAAAGAAACGAAAAUUCAAGGCAAGAUUUCAAAACUUACCCAAGAAAAAUGAAAGGUUCAACUGAAAAGAGCAAGAAGCAGGAUGAUAAUGAAUCUGAUCUUCACCCUAUUCCUCACUGUUCUAUCAUUUUAACAAUCUUUGAUUCAAUCCUUCAACCUUUCAUCUCCAUUUUGAGGUUCUUUGGUUUUAAACGCGAUGCCCCACCUUACCGUCCAGCGUCCUCCUCACUGGAAGAUUGCUACACCGCCGGCUCAAAUCCGCCUUCCACGGCGGUCGACCCACCUCAUGACGAUUCUGAGGAAGAAAGUGAGUACUAUAGGCCACAUGUUCCUCCGCGGCCGCCGUGGAGCACUGGCGGCGGUGGUCAGAUAGACUAAUAUGUAUAUUGUAAUAAUCAGAUCCAAUCAUCAGUUAUUUGAUAUAGCAUGUAUCGGGUUACCAUGUACUUCUUGGAUCCUGCUUCCUCAGCAUCUUACUUCUUUUGUAACGCGUCUCAUAUUUUUUUUUUUGUUUUUUUUGUAGAUAUGGUAUUGUAAUAAUCAUAUAACAUCAGUGAAACCAUUAAGAAUUAAAAUUCUUACAGAUGGAAUUAGUCUUGUCCAUGCGUUAAGAUCCUUAAUUUGCUCCUCUGUUAGAUUGGUUUCUAGAUUUUUUGGGUUUUUAGUGGAACAUGCAGACAAUCUUCGUCAACAAGAGGAAAAACAUCUUUUGCUUCCAUCUUUUGAAAUGUGCUCAUUCAAAGCGAAAAGGGCGCUCGAGGUCAGAGGACAUCAAAUCGCCUUGGAAUGGUCCAGUCAUCACAGUAGAACUAGACGUCUUAAAAUUGUUGUUGCAAAUCUUCUAAGAGUGAUGCAUUAUGUAGUUUUAACGUCUAGACAAAAUGUGUGUUUCCUUGCCUUGUAUCUCGCGUAAAGUGUAAGUAUCUCGUCUGGUCAAAACGCCUUCUAUGGUCAACUCGUGUAAUGUUUAUAUCACCAAUUGAUCAAAUUGCCUACUAAACAAUUCGCCUAUUGGUCAGAACGCCAAUUUGUCAAUUUGUUUGGUCAAUUCGCCUA
Molecule: RNA transcript, 1143 nt
Organism: Cucumis sativus (cucumber)
Lineage: Eukaryota; Viridiplantae; Streptophyta; Magnoliopsida; Cucurbitales; Cucurbitaceae
Exons: 3
Source: RefSeq, a predicted model, not a curated record